Molecule: long non-coding RNA, 533 nt
Filed under: Rattus norvegicus (Norway rat)
Lineage: Eukaryota; Metazoa; Chordata; Mammalia; Rodentia; Muridae
Description: long non-coding RNA NONRATT028307
Source: RNAcentral
AGAAAAACACAAAGUUGGAUCCCCAAGACUGAAACCUGCUAGUGCUGAUCUUGGUGUGUGCACCUGUAGGUCAUACCCAGGAAUUGCUGGAUAGGAUUUGCAACACAGCAGAACACGAUGUCAGCCAUGUUCAUUGUGAUUAAGUUCCAGAGGUGUUUGCUUCCACAGUAUGACGGACACAGAAGGACAGAUCCCAAAGAGGGCUACUGUCAGUCUCAUUGUUGCUUGACUUAUCAAUGUAAUCUGAUUGUUGCCAGUCUGUGGAGUAGAUCUAAACAGAAAAAAGAAGAGGGUUCUCACUGUCUCUACACUGCAUGAUGGUACAGGAAUUUCCUUUCUCAGUGUAAGACUGCCUGGUGGUUGUGAAACAGGCAUUUCCCACUUCUGGUACUCACUCACUUACCUUUCUUCACUUACCUACCCUUUUGAACUCUCAUUUUUUAUCUGCAAAAAUCAACUAUGAAAGCAUAACUUGUGUGUGUGUGUGUGUGUGUGUGUGUGUGUGUGUGUGUUGUUGUUGUUGUUGUUGUUGU